GAUGAACGCUAGCGGCAGGCUUAAUACUAUGCAAGUCGUGGGGCAGUCAUGAGUAGCAAUACUUGAUGGCGACCGGCAAACGGGUGAGGAACACGUACACAACCUUCCUUCAAGCGGGGAAUAGCCCAGAGAAAUUUGGAUUAAUACCCCAUAAUAUAUUUGAUAAGGCAUCUUAUUAAUAUUAAAGCUUUCGGCACUUGAUGAUGGGUGUGCGGCUGAUUAGAUAGUUGGCGGGUAACGGCCCACCAAGUCUACGAUCAGUAGCUGAUGUGAGAGCAUGAUCAGCCACACGGGCACUGAGACACGGGCCCGACUCCUACGGGAGGCAGCAGUAAGGAAUAUUGGACAAUGGACGAAAGUACUGAUCCAGCCAUGCCGCGUGAAGGAUU
This 389-nucleotide ribosomal RNA is filed under the name uncultured bacterium. RNAcentral describes it as "bacterial SSU rRNA". It matches the Rfam family "Bacterial small subunit ribosomal RNA", at positions 28 to 410 of the family's 1533-position model. The record is from RNAcentral.